RNAcentral lists this unclassified non-coding RNA (1900 nucleotides) under Schistocerca americana (American grasshopper). RNAcentral describes it as "26S proteasome non-ATPase regulatory subunit 10-like, transcript variant X3". The record is from RNAcentral. Lineage: Eukaryota; Metazoa; Arthropoda; Insecta; Orthoptera; Acrididae.
GGCAGCGUGGCUGCGUGCGUCAGCUGUUUGUGUGGCGCGGAGAAGCUGGGCUGUCGACAGCGCUAAACCUAGCCGCGUACUAGCUUCCCGUGGGAUACUACACGAAGCUGAGUGAUAUUCGCUGCUCGGCCGCCGAGCCGGACGGACGUGUGGCGGCAGCGCUGGGAGGGUUGGCGUAAACAGCGGCUGUGUGGCUGUUACGAAGACUUCCAGCCACUAUGGCGGGGAGGCCCACCCCUGGCACUCACAGUCAUCCCCACAGCUACCACGGCCGGACUCCUGUUGUUGCAGCACCACCGACGACUCCAUGUCACACUACUCCACCUGAUGAAGCUGCCAUCGCUCGCAUGCGGAGCCUUUCUAGCAAGGAGAGAGUCAGGAGGCUGUCGCAGGCAGUAACAGAGGGAGCUGUGGAAGAUGUGCGGGUGUUGCUGGCGGCAGAUCCACAAAUGGGGGAGAGCGACAAACACAGAGAGAUGGCCCUGCGCAGGGCAGCAGGCAAGGGACAUGUGGAGAUGGUCAGAUGCCUGCUUGAAAGUGGGGUGGAUGUGCAUGCCAGGUCCAAUAAGCACACCACACCUAUGCACAGGGCUGCAUUCAAUGACCACGCAGCUGUGGUGCGGCUACUGGCAUCAUACGCUGCAGACCCCAAUGCCAUGAGUAAAACAGGGAGGACGCCACUGCACUGCACUGCACAAAAGGGCUGCACUGAGGCAGCUGUUGCACUGCUUGAGGUGGGAGCUCACAGGUCUGCCAGAGAUCAUGAGGGGUACACCCCCUUUGACAUAGCCAGGGAGUGCAACAAUGAGCAGAUCAUACACAUUCUAUCAAGAAGCCUGGUGUCAUCUCGACAGAGUGCCUGUAAGGACCACCACACAACCCACUGCACAGCAACUCUGUUCAGCACGUGCCGCUGCCAACUGCGCUCUCAUUGUCUCAGAGGCCAGCCUUCUUAACUAUGGCUCAAACAAACUGUACAGCUCAUGGAGUAAUGUUAAGAAUGUAUGCAUACAGUUGGAUCACAAAACUAAAUACGUCACACAAGAUGUGAAUGCUACACCAUUCGAAAAGAAUAGAAACCAGUGGUCCAAAUAAUAUUUUACGAAAUUACUAUGGAGACAGACACAACAUCACAGUUUUGCUUAAUUAUUUAAGAAAGCACAACGACCAACAGCCUUAAUUUCCAAAGAGGAUUUUGCAACUGACUGCCAAGUAGUAACAACAGCCUACCUCAUGAGUAGUGACAUAACAGCAAUGUAGCAGCAGCCUGUUAAGAACUCAGAAACUUGAGCUGCAGAAUUCAGAGAUAGUCAGGGGGACUUCUAUGGGAUGGGUUUAGUGUAAAACAGUUGAAGAAAUGACCAGUAACAGCAAUACACUCAUAAGUUAAAUCUCCAUCCUUGUAAUAUUGUCGUAUAUGCUCUUCUUCAUCAGACUGCUGCUGGCCAAACAAUUGUUGUAGCACUUGAGGCAAGAGAGAGACCUUCAACUAUGAAUACAACAAGAGAACAACACAAUUCACACAAAAUGGGACACAGAUGAAGUAACGAAAAUCACAAAAGUACAUGACAAAAAGUGCUUUAAUUUGGCCCAUAAAGCAAAUGAAGAGUAGCAGCCGGGAGACUGAAGCAAAGCUACACUCUAAGUCGACACUAGCUGCAUGCGGCUGUUGGCAAAUGUCGUGACUACCCAAUGUGCCCACUGGAAACUAUCAAGCAGCACGAGCAGUGCCCCAUGCAGCUGCUGGACGAUAUGGUGCAGAGGUAGUGCCACAUAGCCGUAAAUAGCCAUCUAGCCCACAUGCAGAUGGCAAACAUCAGCCUGUGCCUCGUGGUCUGAAUGGCAGUCAACUCGUUCAGCAUUUGUCAGGAUGUUCCUUUAAGUAUGAUAAAAUCCAUGC